This 806-nucleotide long non-coding RNA is filed under the name Ananas comosus (pineapple). Its description in RNAcentral is "long non-coding RNA (ACOM_LNC019774)". The record is from RNAcentral. Lineage: Eukaryota; Viridiplantae; Streptophyta; Magnoliopsida; Poales; Bromeliaceae.
AAAAAAAUUCGAAAAACAUUAAUUUGCUAUGAAAUUUGAAAAAUAAAUUUUCAAACAAGAGUAAUACUUCAAUACACCGCGUAAAUCUUGACCGUUUAUUUUUGUAAAUAGAUAGUUGAGAUGUAAUAUGAUUCUAGAAGCGACCUACUAUUCAGGCAUAGGUACCAUUCAGCAGGUAACUAUUUAAAGGGUAUUUUGGUCUUAAAAAAAUAUUUUGUUCUACAAAAUCGAUUUUAUCCAAUUAAGAAUACUAUAACCUUCUCAAAUACCUACAACAAUAGUUAAAAUUCAAAUUACAACUAAACUGUAAAUUUAAAUGCAAAGCAACAUAAAAAACUUAAUUAUAAAUCAAAUUCAACUUUUAAAUAUAAAACACAAAUUUCAAAAAAAACUUUCAGUUCAAAUUCAAAAUUUUAAUUUAAAUCAAAAAUUAAAAUUUGGCUUUUAGAUUAAAAAUACAAUACAGAUUCAAAAUUUAAAAGUUUAAUAUAAAUUAUGAAAUUAAAAUUUUACAUUACAAUACCAACUUCAAAACUUAAAUUUAAAUUCAAUAUUUUUUUUGAGUUUGAUACUUAACAAAUUGGGUAUUAUCUAAUUUGAUAAGUAACAAAACUAAAUAAGGUACUUAAUAUUAUAGGAUGCUAACAAAUUUAGUAUAUAACCGACCGUCCCUAGAGCAAGUGGCAAAGGGCAAGGUGGUUGGUACUCGAGACUCAAGUUCGAAUCCUAGUUGAUUUACAUUUCCAGCUAAGUUUAUUUCUAAAUGAAAUAAACGAAGCGGGUAGCGUGCUACCUAUCUCUCUCAA